Molecule: ribosomal RNA, 253 nt
Filed under: uncultured bacterium
Lineage: Bacteria
Description: partial 16S ribosomal RNA
Rfam family: Bacterial small subunit ribosomal RNA
Source: RNAcentral
GACGAACCGAGCGAACGUUGUUCGGAAUCACUGGGCUUAAAGGGCGCGUAGGCGGGCUGUCAAGUUUGGGGUGAAAUCCCGCGGCUCAACCGUGGAACUGCCUCAAAUACUGACGGUCUCGAGGGAGGUAGGGGCGAGCGGAACUGAUGGUGGAGCGGUGAAAUGCGUUGAUAUCAUCAGGAACUCCGGUGGCGAAGGCGGCUCGCUGGACCUCUUCUGACGCUGAGGCGCGAAAGCUAGGGGAGCAAACGGG